GACGAACGCUGGCGGCGUGCUUAACACAUGCAAGUCGAACGGAAAGGCCCUGCUUUUGUGGGGUGCUCGAGUGGCGAACGGGUGAGUAACACGUGAGUAACCUGCCCUUGACUUUGGGAUAACUUCAGGAAACUGGGGCUAAUACCGGAUAGGAGCUCCUGCUGCAUGGUGGGGGUUGGAAAGUUUCGGCGGUUGGGGAUGGACUCGCGGCUUAUCAGCUUGUUGGUGGGGUAGUGGCUUACCAAGGCUUUGACGGGUAGCCGGCCUGAGAGGGUGACCGGCCACAUUGGGACGGAGAUACGGCCCAGACUCAUACGGGAGGCAGGAGUGGGGAAUAUUGAACAAUGGGCGGGAGCAAGAUGCAGGAACGCCGCGUGCGGGAUGACGGCAUUCGGGUGGUAAACAGAUUUCGCCUGUGACGAAGCGUGAGUGACGGUAAUGGGGAAAGAAGCACCGGCUAACUACGG
RNAcentral lists this ribosomal RNA (467 nucleotides) under uncultured bacterium. Its description in RNAcentral is "partial 16S ribosomal RNA". It matches the Rfam family "Bacterial small subunit ribosomal RNA", at positions 28 to 506 of the family's 1533-position model. The record is from RNAcentral.